GCGGGCGUGGCGGAAUCGGUAGACGCAAAGGACUUAAAAUCCUUCGCUUAGGCAUGCGGGUUCGAGUCCCGCCGCCCGCACCA
This 83-nucleotide transfer RNA is filed under the name Azospirillum brasilense. RNAcentral's name for it is "tRNA-Leu". It matches the Rfam family "tRNA". Rfam says of the family: Transfer RNA (tRNA) molecules are approximately 80 nucleotides in length. The record is from RNAcentral. Lineage: Bacteria; Pseudomonadati; Pseudomonadota; Alphaproteobacteria; Rhodospirillales; Azospirillaceae. RNAcentral also lists the same sequence under 5 other names.